Molecule: ribosomal RNA, 1492 nt
Filed under: Escherichia coli
Lineage: Bacteria; Pseudomonadati; Pseudomonadota; Gammaproteobacteria; Enterobacterales; Enterobacteriaceae
Description: partial 23S ribosomal RNA
Rfam family: Bacterial large subunit ribosomal RNA
Source: RNAcentral
GCGGGACACGUGGUAUCCUGUCUGAAUAUGGGGGGACCAUCCUCCAAGGCUAAAUACUCCUGACUGACCGAUAGUGAACCAGUACCGUGAGGGAAAGGCGAAAAGAACCCCGGCGAGGGGAGUGAAAAAGAACCUGAAACCGUGUACGUACAAGCAGUGGGAGCCUCUUAAUGGGGUGACUGCGUACCUUUUGUAUAAUGGGUCAGCGACUUAUAUUCUGUAGCAAGGUUAACCGAAUAGGGGAGCCGAAGGGAAACCGAGUCUUAACUGGGCGUUAAGUUGCAGGGUAUAGACCCGAAACCCGGUGAUCUAGCCAUGGGCAGGUUGAAGGUUGGGUAACACUAACUGGAGGACCGAACCGACUAAUGUUGAAAAAUUAGCGGAUGACUUGUGGCUGGGGGUGAAAGGCCAAUCAAACCGGGAGAUAGCUGGUUCUCCCCGAAAGCUAUUUAGGUAGCGCCUCGUGAAUUCAUCUCCGGGGGUAGAGCACUGUUUCGGCAAGGGGGUCAUCCCGACUUACCAACCCGAUGCAAACUGCGAAUACCGGAGAAUGUUAUCACGGGAGACACACGGCGGGUGCUAACGUCCGUCGUGAAGAGGGAAACAACCCAGACCGCCAGCUAAGGUCCCAAAGUCAUGGUUAAGUGGGAAACGAUGUGGGAAGGCCCAGACAGCCAGGAUGUUGGCUUAGAAGCAGCCAUCAUUUAAAGAAAGCGUAAUAGCUCACUGGUCGAGUCGGCCUGCGCGGAAGAUGUAACGGGGCUAAACCAUGCACCGAAGCUGCGGCAGCGACACUAUGUGUUGUUGGGUAGGGGAGCGUUCUGUAAGCCUGUGAAGGUGGCCUGUGAGGGUUGCUGGAGGUAUCAGAAGUGCGAAUGCUGACAUAAGUAACGAUAAAGCGGGUGAAAAGCCCGCUCGCCGGAAGACCAAGGGUUCCUGUCCAACGUUAAUCGGGGCAGGGUGAGUCGACCCCUAAGGCGAGGCCGAAAGGCGUAGUCGAUGGGAAACAGGUUAAUAUUCCUGUACUUGGUGUUACUGCGAAGGGGGGACGGAGAAGGCUAUGUUGGCCGGGCGACGGUUGUCCCGGUUUAAGCGUGUAGGCUGGUUUUCCAGGCAAAUCCGGAAAACCAAGGCUGAGGCGUGAUGACGAGGCACUACGGUGCUGAAGCGACAAAUGCCCUGCUUCCAGGAAAAGCCUCUAAGCAUCAGGUAACAUCAAAUCGUACCCCAAACCGACACAGGUGGUCAGGUAGAGAAUACCAAGGCGCUUGAGAGAACUCGGGUGAAGGAACUAGGCAAAAUGGUGCCGUAACUUCGGGAGAAGGCACGCUGAUAUGUAGGUGAAGCGACUUGCUCGUGGAGCUGAAAUCAGUCGAAGAUACCAGCUGGCUGCAACUGUUUAUUAAAAACACAGCACUGUGCAAACACGAAAGUGGACGUAUACGGUGUGACGCCUGCCCGGUGCCGGAAGGUUAAUUGAUGGGGUUAGCGG